AUAUUGCAGGUAACUUGUAAUCACUGUUCUCUAUCUGCCAAGCCUUUUUUACUUGUUCCUAGUCAAGAAAAAAAAUUACAUAAUAAAUGGUUUGUUCUGUUUAGGCACGUACUGGCAGUACUUCAUUUCAAUGAAAACCUUCACAGACAGCCAAAAAAAACAAAAAAUGGAACACCAUAUUAUUCUGUGACAUACCCAAAAUUUAAAUCAGGGGAUGAAGUAGUAAGAACUGUUUCUUCAGCACCAUCAUAUUACUAUGUUAAUGAAAUCAAAAAUGUCAUGGUUCUUAGUUGUGAGGAAUCCAUGGACAACAUAUUUAAGAAGUAUAAGGAAAAAGUCCCAGAAGCCUUAAACAAAACUUUCUCGGAUCAAUUUCCAAAACUGAGGCAAUCCAACGGCAUUUGGAUAGGAAACAACUAUCUUCAACACCAUUGUUUCCCACAUAUCAACAGCAAGAUGUACUGCAAGCAAAGGUUUAGACAAAGAAAAACAAGCUGCUUCAACAGGUCCUUCAGAUC
Long non-coding RNA from Xenia sp. Carnegie-2017, 518 nucleotides. RefSeq lists it as uncharacterized. The transcript has 3 exons. Lineage: Eukaryota; Metazoa; Cnidaria; Anthozoa; Malacalcyonacea; Xeniidae. The record is from RefSeq and is a predicted model, not a curated record.